This 254-nucleotide ribosomal RNA is filed under the name uncultured bacterium. RNAcentral describes it as "partial 16S ribosomal RNA". It matches the Rfam family "Bacterial small subunit ribosomal RNA", at positions 524 to 776 of the family's 1533-position model. The record is from RNAcentral.
GACGAACCGUGCGAACGUUAUUCGGAAUCACUGGGCUUAAAGCGCGUGUAGGCGGGAGGGCACGUCCGACGUUGAAAGCCCCCGGCUCAACCGGGGAACGGGCGCGGAUACGACCUUCCUGGAGGGACGUAGGGGGACCUGGAACUUCCGGUGGAGCGGUGAAAUGCGUUGAGAUCGGAAGGAACGCCCGUGGCGAAAGCGAGGUCCUGGACGUUUUCUGACGCUGAGACGCGAAAGCCAGGGGAGCGAACGGG